RNAcentral lists this long non-coding RNA (255 nucleotides) under Ananas comosus (pineapple). Its description in RNAcentral is "long non-coding RNA (ACOM_LNC026494)". Lineage: Eukaryota; Viridiplantae; Streptophyta; Magnoliopsida; Poales; Bromeliaceae. The record is from RNAcentral.
UGAUCCGAUAGCCUUCGCAAAAAUCGAGGAGUCGAUUUCGGUGCGUUUUUCAGCGAAAUUCGUCGAAAGAAUGCGGUUUCAGUUCGGAUUUCUUCCGACGUGGUUUGUUUAUCCUGUGAUUUGUCGCUGAGCCUUGUUGGCUGAUCACCAUCAUCAUUUUGUGGGUUCGGUGAUGAUGGGUGAGCGACGGUGGGUUCCGGUGCUGAAAUUGACACUUUCGGGAACCCGUAUUCGUACAAUUAUCCGGCGAUAAUU